GUCUAUGGCCAUACCACCCUGAACGCGCCCGGUCUCGUCUGAUCUCGGAAGCUAAGCAGGGUCGGGCCUGGUUAGUACUUGGAUGGGAGACUCACUUGAUAUUUUAUAUUGUUAUAUUUA
Molecule: ribosomal RNA, 120 nt
Organism: Mesocricetus auratus (golden hamster)
Lineage: Eukaryota; Metazoa; Chordata; Mammalia; Rodentia; Cricetidae
Source: Ensembl